RNAcentral lists this long non-coding RNA (641 nucleotides) under Homo sapiens (human). RNAcentral describes it as "non-protein coding lnc-CD34-21:2". Lineage: Eukaryota; Metazoa; Chordata; Mammalia; Primates; Hominidae. The record is from RNAcentral.
AUUCUAAAGAACCAUGGUACCCUGUGACUGGCAAAGCAAUUAGAGCUGAUGUGCAUAAUUGCCAUAUAAACUUCAUAGCCCAGCAUCACGCCAGCUGGACCCCACACUCACUCACUCACACAUCCCCUCCCACCAGGGGCUGAGUGUGCAGUCAUGGUGGCCCCAGGGUCCCAGUCAGAGCACCAGCCAGACGCCGCCCAGUGGGCUAAGUAUCUGUUGCAUUUUCAACUUCUGGAGCUGUGCAUUUAUUAGUAGAAAUACACCGAGGGGGAGGGCUGCUCCAAACACCGAAAUGGAAUUGUCAGUCAGAGGGUAUUUACUUUACUUUUGUUUAUAUUGGUCAUUAGCUUUCUGGAAGUCUGUGCCUACUUUUGCUGCCAUCAACUCUGUGUGCGAUGACGACUUCUUCACCAAUUUAUUCUUUGUACUCCAGGGGCAAGUCAGGAUCACACAGAGGAAUUUGUGGAGAAAAGUAUUUCAACUUACUCUCACAAAUAGGUGCGCUUUCUUUUAUUUUUUCUGGAAUUUCUAUAUUAUAUCCCUGUGUGUUUGUGUGUAGUGUGUUUGUGUGUAUAUAUGUGUCAUUUCAAGUCUGGUCCUUGAUGAAUUCUGGAGAAUUCAAUCUUGUCUUCAUUAUCCCU